GUCUUAAGAUUGCAUAAGUCUUCAACACAUUUUCCUCAUCUGAUGAAGUGGAUGAAAUGGUGUAUUUGUAAACAGCAGUAAAUACAGUUGUGCUGAAAUUACUAAUAUUUAACAUUGAAUAAGAAACAUCUUACAAAGCCUUUUCCUAAAUACCUUCCAUUUUUCAUAGAACUCAGCACCUGAAAAUGGACUGCAAAAACUGAGCCUGUUGAUGAUAACUGAUACAGUUUCUCCCCCCAGUUUUCAAUUUUCCUCUCAAGGACCUCCUCAUACAACUCAUCAUUGAUGUUGAGAACGACGGACAGCAUCGUUGCCACUGCAUCCUCUAAUUAUCUGUUCACAAUGGCCUGGAUUGCUCCGGAGUUUGCUGUGGACAAGUAUGUUGGACAGCUACCUAUCCCUGGUGUUGAAGAGUGGGUAACUGCCCUCAGUUGACUUCAUUUUCUAUCUCGUCUCACUUUGGUGAAAACUGCCUCCCUUCUCCAAGGUGGUGCUAGAUCCUCAGUUCCCAGGUACCACACCAGAAAUGCGAAAGGACCACUUCAGUAAGAGAGCAUAGUAAAUAUUUAAUGCAAACAGGACAUUCUUCAAAAUUAAAAUUCUUCAUUAAUACCGUAUCCGUCUUUCCUGCGAGCCUAGAUGUCUUCAUCUCACCUGUGGACGACAUAGAAGAGCAGAAUGGUUCAAUCCAGGAAAGAAAAAAAUCACAAGGCACCAACAGAGCUUGGUGAAAAAUGUGGAUACCUUUACAGAGAAAAUGCAUCAUGUCUCACGUGAGUCACAGACA
Molecule: long non-coding RNA, 787 nt
Filed under: Ursus americanus (American black bear)
Lineage: Eukaryota; Metazoa; Chordata; Mammalia; Carnivora; Ursidae
Description: lncRNA (ENSUAMG00000011539.1)
Source: RNAcentral